GGGGGAUAUUGCACAAUGGGGGAAACCCUGAUGCAGCAACGCCGCGUGAGUGAAGAAGGCCUUCGGGUCGUAAAACUCUGUUAUAAGGGAAGAAUAAUGACGGUACCUUAAGAGGAAGCCCCGGCUAACUACGUGCCAGCAGCCGCGGUAAUACGUAGGGGGCAAGCGUUAUCCGGAAUCACUGGGCGUAAAGGGUGCGUAGGCGGUUUCUUAAGUCAGAGGUGAAAGGCUACGGCUCAACCGUAGUAAGCCUUUGAAACUGGGGAACUUGAGUGCAGGAGAGGAGAGUGGAAUUCCUAGUGUAGCGGUGAAAUGCGUAGAUAUUAGGAGGAACAUCAGUGGCGAAGGCGACUCUCUGGACUGCAACUGACGCUGAUGCACGAAAGCGUGGGGAGCGAAC
Molecule: ribosomal RNA, 400 nt
Filed under: uncultured bacterium
Lineage: Bacteria
Description: bacterial SSU rRNA
Rfam family: Bacterial small subunit ribosomal RNA
Source: RNAcentral